UAACCAUUAGGUCUCUCCAUUUACAGUUAGUUUGUAACUUGCUGAAUGUGAGGCCAUGUAUAUUGCAGAUACCACAAGGGAUGGAACUAUAGAAAGAUGAGUUAGUUUUGGAUUGCAUGAUGCACUACUGGUGGCCGUCUUAACAAAUCAAGUAGCCUGGAAGAUAAAAUAAAUAUUAAUUCUUUCGAAAUAUUAUUAGCUCGGUUGCAUUUUUAACGAGUGACAAUGUAGACUGUCUCAUUUUAUUUUCCUUGCUUCUGCAUUUUAAUGUGUUCAGCGUUAUUGUUGCCACCGCAGGUGAUUUUUUUAAACUUGUAUCGCUCUCAACAUCAUACUGAUCACUACACUUCUGCACUGCAGUACCUGAGAAAAAUAUCCAUGUUUAAAAACCAUGUCUUCCUCAUCUACGAUGUACUUCUCUAAUCAGAUGUCCCUGAAGAUUGAUUGUUGUGUAGAUAGUUUACUAACAUCUAUGAACCAGUGUUCUGGUGCCUUCAAACUGAAGUGGAAUCUGUUGUUGGCAGGUGCAUGUUGGCAUUGGUGUAUGCAUUCUUCCUAACUGGUGGAGUAUAUAACUUCAAGGGAUGUAGUUCAAAUAUAUUAUUGGAUUAAUGCAGAAGACAUUCAUAAAUCAUGCGGCGUUGUCGAAGUGAUGUUUCUGAUGCUUGAAGAACUACUCCCUGGGUGAGGGUCCCCUAUCCAUUCCAGUGGAGCUCGUGCAUUUCAUUGCAAAACAGUAGUUUUUGUCAGCGGAUUAUCAAAGCAGAUAUCCUUUGUCUCGAAUAAACGAACUAACACUCACUGGUACUUCUGCAACUUUCAUCAUAUCAUGCUUCUUCAUUGCUUGUCAAUUUAAGCCCUCCAACGCGAGUUGUUAGCAGAGGGAUUGGCCUCCAGGGGACUUCUGCUUUUAUUGCCGGACUAUUGGGUACAAGAACAAGAUCGACGACAUUAACAGAGAACAUCCAAACUCCCUUAUUACAAUGGGCAUGCCCAACAAGUUGGUUGUAUCAUCAAUAUGUCGUCAUCCAUGUGUUCACAAACUAAAGGUGGUUUUCCUCUAUUGAUUCAGGCAACCUAGAAAAGGAUCUUAAGCUCACUCAUGAUCCAUUGCUCAUGUACUUAUGGUGUUUGCUCUGAACAAGUACUGAACUGCAGACGAUGCGCAGCAGGCGACGGCGCUAGGGCCGAGACGGCGACCGAGACUGAGCAGAGCGGCAGCGCUGGAGGCGGGGAUGCGUGAGUUGGAGGAGGCCCUUCGUGUGGAGGGCAAUGCCAGGCGGUGGUCCAAAACGGCGGCAGAUGGUGAGGAGCACCCGAUACGGAAGAAUCAGUUUUCAAUUGUUGAUGUCCAGGACAAUUUUGAGAAGCUUUCAAUGUACAAGGGACUUUCUGCAAAAUGUAAAUUACACUACCGCUCCGACAAGUUCCGCGGGACGGAGGGAGUACAAUGGAUUGAGGACCCCGGUUGAAGCGUUGGAGAUUCGAUGUGAUAGGCUGAUUAAUUGAUGGUAGAGUAGCUCAGUACCCAGAUGUUUGCCGAUCGCAUGCGAAUGCAGUCGUUUUUGCUUGUCUGGCGGAUAGUGAGGGUGAAAUGCAUCUAGAUCCAACACGCUAUAGUGAGGUACUCCUACAAAUAGUGGUUAGAAGGUGCGGUAUGUCCAUUUAAUUUCUUACUGCACUACUGAAAAAAUUGACUGCCUACAGUGUAAGUUCCCAAUAUUUUAUCUUGCCUUAGUUGCCAAAAUAUAUUUGUUUUGCUCUGAUUGUAAUAAAGAGGUGGGUACCAUUUGUAUCUCUAGAUUAGUUGCUUUGUUCCUUUCUACAAGUAGUUAAAUAUUUGUGUUACAGCACAUUGUUGUGUUAGAUCUUGACAAGAUAAUACCAACAGAGAGAAAAUGCUGGGCUGGUACAGAUCUACACAUGAACAUGAGUAACUUUUGAUUUUGAUGCUACAUUGUGGCUAUGUUGUGAUGUAGUUUAUUGAAAUGAAUGCACAUCACAGUUAUUCUCCACGCGCAAUAAGUGCUAAUGAUUUUCUAUACUUGCAGAGAGGG
Molecule: long non-coding RNA, 2057 nt
Organism: Lolium rigidum
Lineage: Eukaryota; Viridiplantae; Streptophyta; Magnoliopsida; Poales; Poaceae
Exons: 3
Source: RefSeq, a predicted model, not a curated record